UCUUUCGGAGAGUUUGAUCCUGGCUCAGGACGAACGCUGGCGGCGUGCCUAAUACAUGCAAGUCGAGCGGAUUGAUGGGAGCUUGCUCCCUGAAAUCAGCGGCGGACGGGUGAGUAACACGUGGGUAACCUGCCUGUAAGACUGGGAUAACUCCGGGAAACCGGGGCUAAUACCGGAUAGUUCUUUUCCUCGCAU
RNAcentral lists this ribosomal RNA (195 nucleotides) under Rossellomorea aquimaris. RNAcentral describes it as "Bacillus aquimaris partial 16S ribosomal RNA". It matches the Rfam family "Bacterial small subunit ribosomal RNA", at positions 1 to 191 of the family's 1533-position model. Lineage: Bacteria; Bacillati; Bacillota; Bacilli; Caryophanales; Bacillaceae. The record is from RNAcentral.